Long non-coding RNA from Alosa alosa (allis shad), 963 nucleotides. RefSeq lists it as uncharacterized. Lineage: Eukaryota; Metazoa; Chordata; Actinopteri; Clupeiformes; Clupeidae. The record is from RefSeq and is a predicted model, not a curated record. The transcript is spliced from 3 exons.
UCCAGGAGGUUCUGGACAAGAGUUAAAUGGGAGAGGAAAUAAUGGAGGAGUAUAGUAGAGCACCUUGACACACUGUACAAGAAGGCAUCUUCUGAAUAUCCUGGUCCAUGGGAUACCAGUACGAAGUCAAGGAAAAAGAUAUGCACUCGGCAUUGUGACUGUUUCCUAAUCUCAGGGAUCCUUACUCCACCAAUGGCUAUGAACACUUCUACGAUGCUGGAAGAGGGACGGGCUAUCUGGCAUGGCGCCUAAAGCAACGAGUGUCGUGGCGUUUGGUCAAGAACAGCUCGGGAGCCUUGGAAUACAUGAACACCAUGAGCUUUUUAAGGAGGUAGACUUUCUAAUGAGGAGACACAGCACUCAAAAAAUCCUCCAUAGAAAUGCAUGGGGUUAGUUUGUAACGUAUGGUGUUGUCUACAUAUAUCACACCCCCCUCCGUGGCAAAACGUGGACAUGUAAAUACAUUGAGCCAAUCAUGUGGUGUGUUGUGAAGACAUUGAUUGUGCCAAUCAUGUGUUGUGAUCUUGCCGCUGGAGCAAGAUUGGUGUUGUGAAGCCUGCCGAAAGUGCCCAAAAUGCGUUGCAAUAUGGCUGCUGAGUGGAGGGACUUACCUAAAAGGACUUUGGGUAUACCCACAUGUAACAUCACUUCAUGGUGCAUUAUCGGUCUUGCUUAUGGAAAAUUGGCCCAUUAUUGCACAUCUCUAGUAAUAGGUUUGAAGCAAAACACAAGUUUGUGAAAUUGUAAAAAAACUCUUGAUUAUAUUGUUUUAUUUCUUGUUUAUGAAAUGUUUACUCAGUGUUGCAGAGCAUUUUCAUGCAUAUGUGGUUAUGGAUUGUGAGGAACAUUGUUUUAUUGUUAAAGUCAAUGAUUUGUAUGAGUAUAAGGCCUUUGCUCAACAAAAUGCUUAUGGACCAAACUUUGACAUAUAUAUAUUGUACCUCUGCACAUUGAUUUGAGCCA